This 459-nucleotide ribosomal RNA is filed under the name uncultured bacterium. Its description in RNAcentral is "partial 16S ribosomal RNA". It matches the Rfam family "Bacterial small subunit ribosomal RNA", at positions 338 to 795 of the family's 1533-position model. The record is from RNAcentral.
CCUACGGGAGGCAGCAGUGAGGAAUAUUGGUCAAUGGCCGGAAGUCUGAACCAGCCAAGUCGCGUGCGGGACGACUGCCCUAUGGGUUGUAAACCUCUUUUAUACGAGGAGAAUAAAUGCUACGUGUAGCAUGAUGCCUGUACCUUAUGAAUAAGCAUCGGCUAACUCCGUGCCAGCAGCCGCGGUAAUACGGAGGAUGCGAGCGUUAUCCGGAUUUAUUGGGUUUAAAGGGUGCGUAGGCGGUUUUUAAAGUUAGGGGUUAAAUGUCGGGGCUUAACCUUGAAUUGCCAUUGAUACUGUACGACUAGAGUGCAGUCGAGGUAGGCGGAAUAAGUGGAGUAGCGGUGAAAUGCUUAGAGAUCACACAGAACUCCGAUAGCGAAGGCAGCUUACCAGACUGCGACUGACGCUGAAGCACGAGAGCGUGGGUAGCGAACAGGAUUAGAUACCCCGGUAGUC